RNAcentral lists this long non-coding RNA (3729 nucleotides) under Homo sapiens (human). RNAcentral describes it as "HSALNT0404182". Lineage: Eukaryota; Metazoa; Chordata; Mammalia; Primates; Hominidae. The record is from RNAcentral.
GUGGAACCAAUCCCCUGAGCCCUAUGCAAAUCAGACAUCACCUCCUCCAGCCUAUUUAUAUAAGCAGCCACUUUUCCGUGGCACAGGGGGUCUUCUCUCUUGGCUUUGGAGCUCCCCAUUCCUCUGUGUCUGUAACAGGGGAGCUUCUUCCUUCUUUCUUCUCCCUUCUUUCUUGCCUGUUAAACUCUCUGCUUCUUAAAACCACUCCAUGUAUGUCCAGGUCAUUUUAUCUAAUUUGGAGACGGAGAACCCUGGUGUUCCUCUGCUCAUCAGAGCCGUCUCACCUGCAAGGGCCAGGAUCCAGCACUAGGGCUGCCCUUUAUGUUCAUGCAGCCUCCACUAGGAAGAUCCUCCUUAGCUGCCACCUGCUGUAAAGGGAUCUAUCUAUCUAUCUGUCUAUCUAUCUAUCUAUCUAUCUUUCUAUCUACCUGUCGAGAGAGAGAGAGGUUUAUUAUAAGGAAUUGACUCAUGUGAUUAUGGAGGCUGAGAAGUUCCACAGUCUGCUGUCUGCAAGCUGGAGACCCAGGAAGGCUGCUGGUGCCGUUCCAGUUUGAUUCUGAAGGCCUGAGAACCAGAACUGAUGCCCACUCAACAUGAAGAUGACAAGGAUGAAGACCUUUAUGAUGAUCCAUUCCCACUUACUGAAUAGAUGAAGCUUCUUGGUGAUGUAACAGUCUGUGGAAACUCCCACAGGACAAAUGCAGAAAGGAAGGACCUAGAUCACUGGAUGGUCAACGUUGCCCCUUGCACAGCAGCAAAGGCCUAUACAAAUUUUUUGAGUAGCUUUAUCUAGUGGUUCAGCUACUGGGAAUAACUUGUAAAAUCCCCUGGAUAGUCAACAGCAUUGGGGCUUGCUUUGUAAACAGAGACCUGACCUACUUAAUUCUUCCCAGAGGUUGGAAAAAGAGGCUGGACUCACACAGACAUGAAACCUUGGCUUAAUUGGACACUAAUUACUCAUAAGAGAUCUGUUUACCCGAACUUCCCCUAGACCAAGCUCAGUAUAAAAUGAGAGGAUGCAUAAAGAAGCAAGAUAUUUAGAGGAAAAUGUCACAAAUACAUUUAUCAGUCCCAAAAGUCCUUUUUUUUCCCCAGAAGUGAUGUUGCUAAUUGCACAAAAAUAAACAAUACAGGGGUUGAUAAAUUCCACAUUUAAGGGCUGAGGAUAGUGUCCCUACAUUUCUAAGAAGCUGUAUAUUUGGAAAUGAAUACAAUUGAAAGUAAGGAUAAGUGGCAUUCUAAAGCCAAUUGGAUAACUUGAAUGAACAAGCAGAAUUUACCAUAUUUUGAUAUGUUUCUUUUUGAUUAAAGUAUCUGUAAAGGAAACAAAUUAUAGUAUUGCUAUAGAUUUUAUUACUGAACAAGAAAAAAAGGCUUGAUGUUGUGCAUUUCCUUUUGGCCUUUGGUCUUGGCUGAUAUUGGGCAUCCAAUGAGCUUCUUUGUCUUGAAUGAAGACUUAAGAGGGAGUGAAAAGUAGGAAGAGCAUCAAAACUUCUUUGCAGGAUGUAAUCAAACCACCUACUACUUAUUGUCUUACGAUCCAUUUAUUCAACAAAUGGAACAUCUCAAUUGCUUGAUGCUAUUACAGACACUAGGUAUAGUCUUAGAAAAACAAAUUGCUGUUUUUAUAUAGCUUGUGUUAUGGGUUGAUGUAGUACAGUCAAAAUUAUUUAAAUAAAGGAAGAUGUGAGGAAGACUUUGAACUUAGAAAUCUGGGUUCUCAUCCAAGCUUUGCUGCUAGCUUGUUGGGGGAACCUUGGGUGAUGAGUUGGUUGACUCCUUCCAGAUCUCAGCGUUCAUCCAUCAAGUGAGGGAACUUGACCAGAUAUUCAAUAAUGGCCCUUCCAGCCCCAUCUCUAUAUGAAAGGGAAACCACAGUAUGGGCCCAUGGGGAAGAUCAUGGACUUUGGAGUAAAACAUUUCUGGCUUGGUCAAUUAUUUAAUCUCUUGAUCCCGAUCAAUUCAUGUAACUACUCUGACCCUCAGUUUCCUUGCUGCAAAAUGAGAUACUAAUAUUUGCUCAAAUAAGAUAACAGGCAAAACAAUCAUGAGGGCUCCUGGCACACCACUGUGCAUGGCUUUUGCUCCCUUGGGGAGCUUAUAAAUGAAAAAAAGAUUUUACAAUGCAAAGACAGUAAGCAUUUUGUUAGUGAAGCAACAAAAUAAUUGGGCAAUUUCCUCUCAAUUGCACCAUCAACUGAUGCCCAACCUAGAAAGCAUUUGGCUAAGAAUGGAAAAGGAAUCUUUGCCCAGAUCCCUCAAUUUUGACCAUCAUGGCAUAUACAUGAAUUGGCAGACUAAAUUUAUGCUCCUUUUGAAAACUGUGUCCAUUCCAAGAAGUCAGGCUAUUUUCACCCAGCCUGGUCUAGGCAGUGGGACUCCCCAAGGCUACAAGCAGAGCCACAGUGCUCUGGGCUGGGCUGCCACACUGUCAUGCUGGGGCAAAGAUGGCAGCAGACAGCUCUCUUGGGUAACAGCAGGAAGCUCUUUUCACAAGAGUGAUCUCAUCUCUUAGGGGACUAUGGUAGAAACACAGGGCAAAAGCUAUAGGAAUGGUCCAACAUAAUAACUGUUUUUUUUUUUAAUUUUCAAAACAUGAUAAAUGAUUAAGAAUAUAAAACUGGAAUUUAGAACUUACAGAGAACUUGUAUGAAUAAAUUAAAAAGACAACCUAAUUUUAAAAUGGGCAGAAGUCUUGGGCAGGCACAUUACAAUAUAGCAGGGGUCACCAAAUUAAAGCCUCACCAGCAAAAUCCACCUCCCAUCCCAGCCUGUUUUUAUAAAUAAGCUGUGUUGGAACACAGCCAAUCCCAUUCAUUCACACAUUGCCCAUGGCUGCUUUUGCUUGACAACAGCAUAGUUGAGUAGUAGGGACAAGACCAUAUGACCUCCAAAGCCAGAGAUAUUAACUGUCAGGCCCUUUAUAGAGUGAUUCACGGAGACCCCCAUAAUAGAGGAAAAUACAAGUGGCCAAUAGCACAUAAGAAGAUGCCCAGUAUUACAGCCAAGAGGAAAAUGCAAAUUACACCCACAGUAAGAUACCAUUAUGCAUCCAUUAGAAAGGCUAAAAUUAAAAGGACUGACAACAACAAGUGUUGACAAUGGUGGGUAACAGCAAGAGCUCUCAUACACUGAUGGUUGAAGUGUAAAUUGGUUCAGUUUUGGAAAAGAGUUUGGAGGUGUCUACUACAGUUAAACAUACAUAUUUCCAUGCCCCAGAAACUCCUGGGCAUAUUCUCAAAAGAAACGAGGGCUGUGGCCACCAAGAGACAUGUGUGAGAAAGGUCCUAGCACCUUUAUAUAUCAUAGUCCCAAACAGAAAACAACACAUACCCAUCCACGUUAGGAUGAACUAAAUAAAUUGGGGCAUAUGCAUUCAAUGGAAUAGUACAUAGCAAUGAAAAAAUAAACUGUUGCCCCAUGCAAAGAUGUUUUACAGACAUAACGUUAAGCAGAAGAAAGCAGAUCUCAAGGAGCCCACAUUGUACAAUUCCGAUCUAUAUGAAGCUCAAUAACACAUGGUACUAGAAGUUGUAAUAGCAGUUACCUGUAGGACUGGAGGUUUGUAUUGAAAGAGAAGGAACAUCAGGAAGUCUGCUGGAGCCUGGAAAUGUCUGAGAUGUUGCUCUGGGAGGCAGUUGCAUGGCUGUAGACAUAUGUAAGACAUUAUUGGAUGGUAUACCUGAGAUUGGAGCACCUACAAUAGAAGGUACAGUGUUACAUCUCAGU